Molecule: long non-coding RNA, 489 nt
Filed under: Apteryx haastii (Great spotted kiwi)
Lineage: Eukaryota; Metazoa; Chordata; Aves; Apterygiformes; Apterygidae
Description: lncRNA (ENSAHAG00000013816.1)
Source: RNAcentral
AUGUGCAUCGCUGUGGAAACACUGAGCAGUUCUGUGGUCUUUUCUGCACUCUGGUUGAAUUAUGAUCUCUCUUUGCCUCAAUGCCCCCAUCUGGAAACGAGGGACAGUGGUUCUUCUCCAUAUCUCAGGACGGCAGCUGCAAGGGGCAGCAGUUUUAUUGCUCUGUCGUCCUCUUCCAGAAGGAACAGCUGUCAUUAUUCACACUGCAGGAGCACUCAUGCACUCCUGUCAACAGUGAGGCCACAAGAUGGAAGGCACCACCCGGACUCAGCCAAGGAGACGCUUCUGCGAGGAGACCUUUCAAGGACAGAACAUCCGUGCUCCUCCAGGGCUCCCAGGAAGCAGCGAGGUGUCAGCAGGGCAGAGGACGCCCGCUGGGGAAGGGGACUCGCCAAACGGGGGAAACGCAGACCCGGCGGGGCGGGGGCGCCACCCGCGACCGCUCGCCAGCGGCUCGGCUGCUCGCUGCGGCCGGGCUGAGCCCUGCCA